RNAcentral lists this unclassified non-coding RNA (1833 nucleotides) under Melitaea cinxia (Glanville fritillary). RNAcentral describes it as "misc RNA ENSMCXG00005003885.1". The record is from RNAcentral. Lineage: Eukaryota; Metazoa; Arthropoda; Insecta; Lepidoptera; Nymphalidae.
ACAAGUUUUUAGGGACAGGCGGGCUAUGCUUUAGUACGUAGCGAUCGUUCUCCUGUUCUCUAUGCUCCAUGAUGCUAACCAUGGAGCAUAGAGAACAGGAGAACGAUCGCUACGUACUAAAGCAUAGCCCGCCUGUCCCAAAAACUUGUAUCAGCCACCAGUCUGCGCUGCCGACGGUAAGUUGCCUCUGUGAAGUUAGCUGUUUAUGACAUGUGCUUAUGAGUACAAGUAAAUGAAGUUAGUUGAAUAAUGUAUUUUGUAAACAAUGUUUACAAAUUUACUUCGCGGCAUUGGUGAGAAAAUAAUCGUGCUCCGUAAUUUUUUAAUUUUUGACCAAAGAAACAUUAAAAAAUGGUGAAAUAUUGUAUUGUGCGUGGAUGUAAAAGAGGUUUAGCAUCUGAUCGCUAAAAUAGAAUGAAUUACUGAAAAACAAUUUGCGUCAAUCAUCUUUAUUCAAAGUACCAAACUACCAAAGAAUAACGUAUUGAGGGAUAAUGGGUAAAAGCUUUAUCACAACAAUUGACUCCAAAUCAGUUUAUCUGUGAGAAGCACUUUCCGAAGAAGAUAUUAAGAAAGGUGAUCGAUUGAUUAAUGGAGCUGAAAUUAUCAUCCCUCGCGAAAGGUUGACUCUUUUGAAUGACAAUGUCAUUCCAAUAAACCCUCAGGAUUUGAAAAAGGACAUUUCUGAAGAGAUUUCAAUGCCAAAAUUUACUAUUUUUAGAUGAUAUUGAAAUAUAAGAAAUAUCAAAUCUGUUUACUUUACUUUAAAGUUGCUUUUUUUUUGUUACAGCAAGUUCCAAUAGUGCAAAAUGAUAUUAAUAACUGACCAAUCGAAAACCUGGAUUAUACACAACCUUCGUUAAAAAUCAUUCAAGGUAACAAUUUAAAAGAAGAUUCUCAACCAGCAAGACCCCGUCAUAUGGAAUCACCAGAGAUUGUAACAGCUAAUAAUGUAAAAGAAUUAGAUAUUAUUAUGUUUAUCAUAUUGUUAUAGAUUUGCGAGAUUUUAAUAUAUUUUUUUUUGUACAUAAAUUUCAACAUUAGGUCAUUAUCUCGAACAUGUCUCCACCAUCAUGUGUUACACUAGAAGAGAUCCAUGCUCAUUUUCACUCAAUACUGAUCCAAGGAUGGUGUUAUUUUGCUUGUGAUGAAGAGUUGAUAUUUAGUCAUAUCAAUAUUCGCACCCGAAAAGAAGAUAUGAAUUUUACUAUUGCCAAUAAUCUUUCAGUGAAGGUAAAUAAUUUUCUCAUGCUUUUUUGAAUAAUUUUAUAUAUUCAUAAUGCAUAAAGAGCAUUUUAUUAUAAUUUAUUAAGUUUUGCUCACAUAAUCAUUUCUGAUACAACAGGUUUCUUUCUCUCAAUGACCAGAAAUUGUUAUUGAUGAUACUAUAUCAUCUAUAGAAGAUAUAAAAAUGUAUAUGGAAACUCUGCAAGCCACUAUCUUAUGUGAAGGAACUGACAUACACUAUAGGUACGAUAUAUUUUCUUUAAUUUCUUUUAAUAUAAAUAAAAAUCUCAUACUAUUACACAUUAGGUGAAAAUUGAAAAUAAACUUAAAGAUUCACCUAAAUCGAGGCUCCAUCUAGAACUGUGACACCUGAAGUAAAAACAAGCAUCAAGUACAUCUUUUAGUAGUAGUGUGAAAAGAAAGAGAGUAUCUACAUUACCUUUGAAAAAUUCCAAAUCACCUUGUAAGUCAAUAGAUAUGUUUUUUAGGUAGCAGAUUUUUUUUUUAAUUAUCUAAGUGUAUGCAAAUGAACUUGUAAAUAAUGUAAAUACAUUUAUAAAGCAAUUUUAUGAAAUAAAAAAAUAUGAUAUUUUAAUUGUUUUUUAU